AAUCCCCUGCUAUGUUCGUGAUUGAAUAGUGCCCCUUGACCCAACACCUAUGAAAAAGGGAGCCUUCCCUGGCUUUGGUGUGCAAGUUCCGCAUGUACGGAAAAGCCUGAAGAAGUCAUAAGGCGCCCACCUCAAUGAGCCCGGUUCAAGGCUCUUUCAACACGGCGUGGCGGGGGUUAU
This 180-nucleotide non-coding RNA is filed under the name Desulfosalsimonas propionicica. RNAcentral describes it as "6S / SsrS RNA". It matches the Rfam family "6S / SsrS RNA". From Rfam's summary of the family: E. coli 6S RNA was the first non coding RNA to be sequenced, but its function was unknown until recently. It consists of 184 nucleotides that fold into an extended hairpin structure with a large single-stranded internal bulge. The record is from Rfam by way of RNAcentral. Lineage: Bacteria; Pseudomonadati; Thermodesulfobacteriota; Desulfobacteria; Desulfobacterales; Desulfosalsimonadaceae.